CCCUCCCUCCCUCCCUCCCUCCCUAACACACUCUCUCUUUUGCUCUCGCUCUGAGUCGUGCACAUGCAGACAGAGGGAGAGGGGGGAUGAACGAGGUGCAUUCAUGAGGAUCUCCUGAACUGCUGGGGCAAGGCAGGGCUGGUGAAGAGAGAAGAAGAAGAAGAGGAGGAGAACUAGAGGAAUACUGCAGUGGCCAACCAGCUUCUUUUCCCUUCUGUAUUUCUUUCUCUCUCUCUCUUUUCUCGCUGCUCCACUGCUUCCAUCCCCUUCUCUCUCCCUGUGCCAAUUAUACCAUGAACCUGCCUGCUGCUUGUUGCUAAGGGGAAGCCAGCCAGGGGGAGCCGAGUGGACCGGGCGAUAUUUUGUUGUUAAGGAUUUAGAGAAAAUGGCAGAAGGGUCCAAAGACCAGGGAGGAACGGGCACCGCUGAUCCCGAGGAGGACUCCCCCAAUAUGAUCGUCUACAGAAAGAUUGAAGACAUUGUUACACGAAUCCAAGAUGAGAAAGCAGGAGGUGUAGCCAUACGGACUGUCAAAAGCUUCCUCUCCAAGAUCCCAAGUGUGGUAUCAGGGGCGGACAUUGUUCAGUGGCUGAUGAAAAACCUCUCCAUAGAAGAUCCAGCUGAAGCCAUCCAUCUGGGCAGUUUGAUCGCUGCCCAUGGAUACGUCUUCCCCAUCUCUGACCACGUUCUGACGCUUAAAGAUGACGGAACCCUUUAUCGCUUCCAGUCUCCAUACUUCUGGCCUUCAAACUGUUGGGAACCCGAGAACACAGACUAUGCCAUUUACCUGUGCAAGCGCACGAUGCAGAAUAAAGCCAGGCUUGAGCUCGCUGACUACGAGGCUGAGAACCUCGCCAGGCUGCAGAGGGCUUUCGCCAGGAAGUGGGAAUUUAUCUUCAUGCAAGCUGAGGCUCAAGUCAAGAUUGACAGGAAGAAGGACAAGGCGGAGAGGAAGAUCCUUGACAGCCAGGAGAGAGCAUUUUGGGACGUUCAUCGGCCAGUGCCAGGCUGUGUCAACACCACAGAGAUGGACAUCCGCAAGUGCCGGAGAGAGAAGAACCCACACAGGGUAAAAAAGUCAGUCUAUGGAGUACCAGAUGAUGGCCAGAGCCAACCGAGUCCUGUCCACAUCGGCUCCCAGCCGACCAGGAAGACCACCAAAGACGAUGUUCAGAAGGAGAUUACCUUCUUGAACAUCCAGCUGGAGAGACACUGUAUGAAAGUUUCCAAAGUGGCCGACAGUCUCAUGACCUACACCGAGCAGUUCAUGGAAUAUGACCCCUUUGUAUCAGCUGUAGAGCCUUCGAACCCAUGGAUCAGUGACGACACUACCUUCUGGGACUUGGAGGCAAGUCGCGAACCCACCCAGCAGCGUGUGAAGAAAUGGGGCUUCUCCCUGGAGGAGGCGCUAAAGGACCCAGCAGGUCGAGACCAGUUCCUAAAGUUCCUGGAAUCAGAAUUCAGCUCAGAAAACCUGCGGUUCUGGUUAGCAGUGCAGGAUUUUAAGCGACGGCCACUCCAUGAAGUUCCCUCCAGGGCGCAGGAGAUCUGGCAGGAGUUUCUGGCUGAAGGAGCUCCAAGCUCCAUCAACUUGGACUCUCACAGCUACGAGCGCACCAGCCAGAACCUCAAAGACCCCGGACGAUACAGCUACGAGGACGCUCAGGAGCACAUAUUCAAGCUAAUGAAAAGUGACAGCUAUGCACGCUUUUUGCGAUCCAACAUCUACCAAGACCUCCUGUUGGCCAGAAAGAAGCACAUGCACACGCAUACUAGUCCAGUAUGCAGCUCCCUUCCAAAAGCACUAGGAGAAAAACAAAAGGAAAUAUGCAUUUUCUUUUUUUUUAUUGUUUUGCAGUAACAAAAAAAUUGCAAACGAUUCAGACUGUUUAAAAAAAAAAAAGAAGAAGAAGAAUAUAUGCAUGGGAAACAAACAUAUUCAAACAAGCAACUCAAGGUUUGGGACUUACUGAAGUAUUUGGAUCACAUUGAAAUAAAGUGGGUCAUUUAUUGUCACAUAGCAGCAUUUCACAGCUCUUAAUAAGGUCUUCAAAGCACCGUAAGGCUACAAGCAGAGCCCCAAAAAGGCACAACCACUGUGCCCAAAAUGCAGGUGCAAGGAAACUGCUAAAUUAUUUAAAAUGUCAACGGAACAGUCUUGAAAGAAACAUGAGAUCAUAUGCCAAACACAGACAAACCGCUGUGUAAAAGCGGAACAACAGCCAGCCUGAAAAAUAAACUUACAGAGCACAAGUAUUACCGUGUUAUAUAAAAAUUCUAUGCUACUUUUGUCUGUCUCCUUCAGUGUAACCUUUAAAUCUCAUGUAGCUAAAAUAGACACUCAUUUAGCUGUUUAACUGUAAUGCAGAGCUUUUCAGCAAAUCACAGCUUCUCUGUUCAUGCUAGCCUUUCUGCCCUUUCCCCCUUUGGACACUGCUCCUUGUGCUGGCCUGUCACUGAUCCCACUCCAUUCCCUAAAAAUAAUAAAUGCAACCCCUUGCACUCUCCUUUGGCCCUCAUUUUUUAUUUUUUAUUUUAUUUUGCAAUGCUUGGCCCCCCUUUUUCCCUCACUAACAACAUCACUCCCAACUCCCUCGUCAACACCCAUACCUGACCCAAACACUCACCCUGCUUCCCCCCCUCCAAAACAGCAGCCAGCAGACACUGAACAGGGCCGCCGCACCUCCUUGGAGAAGUUCACCCGCAGUGUGGGCAAGUCAUUGACGGGAAAACGCCUGACAGGCCUGAUGCAGUCAUCCUGACACAGCCUGUGCUGCAGGGGCACAGCCAGACCCUGUCGGGUGGGUGGCUGCCGCACAGGGGCCGGGGCACGGGCACAGACAGUGGAGCUGGGCUGGACAGGGCUGCUGUGGAGGCUCUCAGACACUGCUCCGAGGACUGCUGCCAUAUUGGUAUUGCAGCACUGGGCUUGCUGGGGUGAACACCCCAAAUUGAAACACUGAUGAUGAGACAAUGUCGACAAGGGGAACCUCAGCCAACACACAGCACGGCAUGCAGCGUACAGUACAAGCAAAUGCAGUGCAGGGCUCUUCAUCACUUAGGCGGCAAACUGGUUGUGAGUCUCGAUGAAGCUGAUCAGUUUAUUGUUUUCAGGUUGUUUUAUAUUAAGCGUUAUUAGAAACGAAAAGAACAUCUGCUAAAUAUUCUUUGAUAGGACUGCGGGUAACUCGCCACAACGUUUGCAGUGAUGACUAUCGUCUUAUGAUUUCGGGAUCCAAAAAUAGCUGCAGCCAAUCCUAACUCGGACAUAAAUACAAAGUCUAAGAGGCACAUCAGCACAGACACAAAUCUGUUUUACAUUUGCCUCUGUACUCACACAGCAGCCAGCAAUAAAUAAAGCCUGUCCAGUUUUUUUUGAUUGUUUUGUUUUUAGAAAUAUCCAACCUCUUUUUAUAUCUUUCUAUUAUAUUUGUGUCCUAAGCGAAGCACGUGUCAGUUAAACAGCGAGCACAGCUUUAGCACUGUGAAAAGACGCAGUACAAAGCCUGUAUUCUCCACGCUGAGAGGCAUCUACAAAAUGGAUCUUUAGAGGUAUAACUUUUCAUGCUUCAUUACAUUCCAAAAUUUGACAUAAGGGCUUAAUGUAGCAUUCACACUGCACCGUGGCGUGCUUCAUCCAAACGUCUGUGUUGAGAAUUAAUGUUUCAUUUCUACAACACUGCUCUGUAAUGAGACGCGUGGCGAUGAUGAAUUGCUUCUGGCUGGCAAAUUAUUCAUUUGCUUUGAGAGGUUCAAAAACGUGGCUGUGCAAACAGUUGCAGCGCCGUUUAGUCACAGCCAUACGUACACAGUCACAGGCCAAAUAGCAUCUCCGUUUUGUUUUUUUUUUAGGCUUCUGCUGUAGUAUCAAAGUAUCCAGUGCCAUGGGUCCAUCUAGUGGUGGCUGAACCACAGGACCAGAAACCAGAGUGUUAAAAGACUGAACUGUGCUGUCUUCAUAUCAUGAUAUCAGAACAAGUUGAUCUCCCGUCUUGGAGACGUUACAAGGCCUGCUACUCAAUAUAGGAUCAUUUAUGGUUUAUUGCUUUUUUUUUUUACUGCAUGAAUAUUUUUUAAUCACAAAAUGUUACCUGAUCAUUUGAAAAACAAACAUUUUUUUUGUUGUCUCCACGAAUUAUCUGUCGUGUUUUAAUGACUAUGGGGGGGAAAAAGAAAUAUUUGCAUGCUGGACUAUUAUGGAGUGCUAGGGAAGGAUGGUUGGAUUCUCCAAAGAGGGCACACAGACAGGGACCAGCCCUGCACCGGAGCAACGCUCCUCAGCGAAUCAACAUCUAAGCCCCGAACUGCAACUGGGAACAAUAUUUGACCCUCGAUAGACGACGCACACCGAAGAUAAAAGGCCUCUCUGCUCCACUGUGGCUUCAGACUCCUUCUACAUACAGAAAGUGCUUGGACUGAGGAGAUUAUGGUCUCACAGCUCCCCCAUGAGGCCAGUGACUGCUAUAGAGAUAAACUACGCUGCUGAAUGAGUCAAUCAUCUAUUCUUUUGUAUUAGAGUCGUUGCAAUGCACUGUACAGGUCAUAUUAGUAAUUAUUGUUAACAUAAACCAGUAACCUCGUUGAGUAUAAGGUAGAGAGAUAUGCUUAACUCGAGUCGAUGUACCAAAUGUUAUCCUCAGCACAAGACACAAUGACACUAUGUAUCGAGUGCAUUGUAAAUGUAAAUUGGCUAAAUUUCAUUAACCAAAAGCACACUUUAUUAUGAUAUGGGCACAUUACUAUGCAUGUAACAUAUUCAGGGCAUUUUGUGCUUUUAGUUUCGCAAUCAGCAAGAUAACUACUGGCACUCUGAAACACUCAAGCACCUGCUGUCUAUUCAUGGGUACCAAAUAAUAAAUACUAUGGACCUGUC
Molecule: RNA transcript, 4873 nt
Organism: Haplochromis burtoni (Burton's mouthbrooder)
Lineage: Eukaryota; Metazoa; Chordata; Actinopteri; Cichliformes; Cichlidae
Gene name: regulator of G-protein signaling 6
Exons: 17
Source: RefSeq, a predicted model, not a curated record